Molecule: unclassified non-coding RNA, 1998 nt
Filed under: uncultured fungus
Lineage: Eukaryota; Fungi
Description: sequence contains 18S rRNA gene, ITS1, 5.8S rRNA gene, ITS2, 28S rRNA gene
Rfam family: Eukaryotic large subunit ribosomal RNA (bases 881-1998)
Source: RNAcentral
GGAAGGAUCAUUAACACGUAUCCACGUAUCAACCAAUCGAGAACUUGUUUUCAACGCUCCCUUUGCAAUUUGAAUGAAUUGGAACCAGUUUGAGGGAAUUGAUGUGGAUUGCUUCAUUGCAAUCGGCCUUCCUGGUAUACUAACGAACAGUGAAAACCGUUUGUUGACAAUUGUAUCUUAUUGCUGAAAGGCCAAAUUUCUUUCCAUAUUUUGAUCUCCAUCAUGAUCAAUAAAAUAUGGAAGGAGAAACCCUUAUAAACUAUUUUCACCACCUUUUUGCUAGUUGACUUUUUAUAUGUGAUUGUUUUGCUUCAUUGCAAUGUAGUCGCACGUUUAAUUACUUGAACGUUAAAAAAUACAACUCUUAGCAAUGGAUAUCUUGGUUCUCGCAACGAUGAAGAACGCAGCGAAAUGCGAUACGUAAUGCGAAUUGCAGAAUUCAGUGAAUCAUCAAAUCUUUGAACGCAAAUUGCGCUCUUGGGUAGCCCUAGGAGCACGCCUCUCUCAGUAUCGGUUCAACAAUCUCUCAGCAGCGUGUUUAUUGCAAAAUAGAUGCGUGUUGGCUGGAUAAUGAGAGUCUGUAUGCUUUGUCGUACAGUCUCUUGAAAUACAUGGAGUAAGCAUAAACUAUACGAUUAAAUUCCACCAUUCAUUUGGAGGAAUAGUAGAGUCUCUGACUUUGCUUUAUUCGAAAUAGUGACGUGAAUAUUGGCCUUUAUUGGUCUAACUUUUAUGUUUAUCUAUUUUGAGCUAAGCGCCUAUAAAGUCUAGGAUUUAACGAAACAAUUGUAACUUAUUAGUUGUAUGUUUGCGUGAAGAUAACCAUAUGGUUUCUUGUCUAUACAUUCGCAAGAAUAUAUAUUAAUAGGAACCUGAAUUUUGAUCUGAGAUGAAGCGAGACAACCCCCUGAAUUUAAGCAUAUUAAUAAGGGGAGGAAAAGAAACUAACAAGGAUUCCCCCAGUAACGGCGAGUGAAGCGGGAAGAGCUCAAUUUGAAAAUCGAUUACCUAAACGGGUCAUCGAAUUGUAGCCUAGAGACGUACUAUCAGCUGAAACCUGGGUAUAAGUUCUUUGGAAUGAGGCAUCAUAGAGGGUGAGAAUCCCGUUUAUGACCCAAAGCUUUCAGCGUACGAUGUAUGUUCAUCGAGUCGAGUUGUUUGGGAUUGCAGCUCUAAAUGGGUGGUAAGUUUCAUCUAAAGCUAAAUAAUGGCGAGAGACCGAUAGCGAACAAGUACCGUGAGGGAAAGAUGAAAAGAACUUUGAAAAGAGAGUUAAAAGUACUUGAAAUUGCUAAGAGGGAAGCGCUAAAAACCAGUGAUACGCUAGGUCAAUCGUUCUCGGCUUCUCGUAGAUAGUGUUGGGCAAUGGGCAACCUUGUUCGGUGUUAUCGAAAGGAUGGUUGGGGAUUUAUGAUCUAGUGUCAGUCAAGAUCAAUUCGAAUUGUGGGAGAAGGUAGCGAGAAAGGUAGGAGGAGCAAUCCUCUGUUAUAUUCUUGUUACUCUACCUCGGCUUGGAUUGAGGAAGUAAUGGUGCGCCGCUUGCGGCUUGAUCCUGCGUCUCUGUUGUCCUACUUGCUCCGAUAGCAAUGCUAUCUCUGUGAGGAAAGGCAAUACUGGGCGUGGUGAUUCUAUGUGCCAUCACGAUCUUGUACGAAAUGGUUUUUAUCGACCCGUCUUGAAACACGGACCAAGGAGUCUAACAUCUAUGCAAGUAUUUGGGUGAAAAACCCUGAUGCGUAAUGAAAGUAAAGGUAGACUUGUUCUACUGAGGUAGGAAUCCUUGUUAAAGGGGAGGCACUAUCGACCGAUCAUCACUUGUGAAAGAUUUGAGUAAGAGCAUAUCUGUUGGGACCCGAAAGAUGGUGAUCUAUGCCUGAACAGGGUGAAGCCAGGGGAAACUCUGGUGGAGGCUCGUAGCGAUACUGACGUGCAAAUCGUUCGUCUGAUUUGGGUAUAGGGGCGAAAGACUAAUCGAACCAUCUAGUAGCUGGUUCCCUC